Long non-coding RNA from Apis mellifera (honey bee), 461 nucleotides. RefSeq lists it as uncharacterized. The transcript is spliced from 2 exons. Lineage: Eukaryota; Metazoa; Arthropoda; Insecta; Hymenoptera; Apidae. The record is from RefSeq and is a predicted model, not a curated record.
AUGGAUAUAGAUUUAGAUUUAUUCGUUUAGAUCAUGUAAGUAUUUUGAUGGUUGUAAUAUGGAUUUGUACAUUUUUGCGAUAUAAUAUUUUUUAGACGAUAAUGCGAAGGUAAUACGGAAUUGGAUGCGGAAUGGAGUAGAUAAAGGGUUGAAGAAGGAAAGAAGAUCCGUUAUAUUUUUGCCAAGUUGUGCGUGACUUUGAGUAUAUUCCUCAUCAAGAAAGCGUAUACCUGUUUCAGAGUAUUUCUAAACACCGUUCCGCUCUAUUUUCAGGAGUAAGGCUCGAAUAUUAGCAGCUGCGACGUAACACAGUUUCCUUUAUUCGUAGAAGACCAGUAGAAGGGUAUUUAUGAAAUUGAGGCAUUUCAGAAAGGUAAGUAUGGAAAAGGUAAGUAUAGGACUGUUCUCAGUCCUUUAGUAUAUAAGUAAAAUGGCCAAAAAAGGCAAAAAAAUUUAAAAAA